UGCCAUGGGAUCAGUCCUCAGCAAGUGA
This 28-nucleotide non-coding RNA is filed under the name Homo sapiens (human). Lineage: Eukaryota; Metazoa; Chordata; Mammalia; Primates; Hominidae. The record is from RNAcentral.